This 197-nucleotide ribosomal RNA is filed under the name uncultured bacterium. Its description in RNAcentral is "partial 16S ribosomal RNA". It matches the Rfam family "Bacterial small subunit ribosomal RNA", at positions 328 to 539 of the family's 1533-position model. The record is from RNAcentral.
ACGCUCGACACCUACGGGAGGCAGCAGUGAGGGAUAUUGGUCAAUGGGGGAAACCCUGAACCAGCAACGCCGCGUGAGGGAUGACGGUCUUCGGAUUGUAAACCUCUGUCCUCUGUGAAGAUAAUGACGGUAGCAGAGGAGGAAGCUCCGGCUAACUACGUGCUAGCAGCCGCGGUAAUCUGAGCGGCUGGCAAGGC